RNAcentral lists this ribosomal RNA (440 nucleotides) under uncultured bacterium. RNAcentral describes it as "partial 16S ribosomal RNA". It matches the Rfam family "Bacterial small subunit ribosomal RNA", at positions 338 to 795 of the family's 1533-position model. The record is from RNAcentral.
CCUACGGGGGUCAGCAGUGGGGAAUAUUGCACAAUGGGGGAAACCCUGAUGCAGCGACGCCGCGUGAGUGAAGAAGUAAUUCGUUAUGUAAAGCUCUAUCAGCAGGGAAGUAAAUGACGGUACAUGAGCAAGAAGCUCCGUCUAACUACGUGCCAGCAGCCGCGGUAAUACGUAGGGGGCACGCGUUAACCGGAUUGACUGGGUGUAAAGGGAGCGUAGACGGCAGUGCAAGUCUGGAGGGAAAGGCGGGGGCUCAACCCCCGGACUGCUCUGGAAACUGUACGGCGGGAGUGCAGGAGAGGUAAGUGGAAGUCAUAGUGUAGCGGUGAAAUGCGUAGAUAUUAGGAAGAACACCAGUGGCGAAGGCGGCUGACUGGACUGUAACUGACGCUGAGGCUCGAAAGCGUGGGUAGCAAACAGGAUUAGAUACCCUAGUAGUC